AACGAACGCUGGCGGCAUGCCUAACACAUGCAAGUCGAACGAGACCUCCGGGUCUAGUGGCGCACGGGUGCGUAACGCGUGGGAACCUGCCCUUAGGUUCGGAAUAACUCCCCGAAAGGGGUGCUAAUACCGGAUAAUGUCUUCGGACCAAAGAUUUAUCGCCUUUGGAUGGGCCCGCGUUGGAUCAGCUAGUUGGUAGGGUAAAAGCCUACCAAGGCGACGAUCCAUAGCUGGUCUGAGAGGAUGAUCAGCCACACUGGGACUGAGACACGGCCCAGACUCCUACGGGAGGCAGCAGUGGGGAAUAGUGGACAAUGGGCGAAAGCCUGAUCCAGCAAUGCCGCGUGAGUGAUGAAGGCCGUAGAGUUGUAAAGCUCUUUUACCCGGGAUGAUAAUGACAGUACCGGGAGAAUAAGCUCCGGCUAACUCCGUG
Molecule: ribosomal RNA, 433 nt
Filed under: uncultured bacterium
Lineage: Bacteria
Description: partial 16S ribosomal RNA
Rfam family: Bacterial small subunit ribosomal RNA
Source: RNAcentral